Molecule: ribosomal RNA, 497 nt
Filed under: uncultured bacterium
Lineage: Bacteria
Description: partial 16S ribosomal RNA
Rfam family: Bacterial small subunit ribosomal RNA
Source: RNAcentral
GAUGAACGCUGCCGGCGUGCCUAAUACAUGCAAGUCGAGCGAACAGAUGAGGAGCUUGCUCCUCUGACGUUAGCGGCGGACGGGUGAGUAACACGUGGAUAACCUACCUAUAAGACUGGGAUAACUACGGGAAACCGGAGCUAAUACCGGAUAAUAUAUUGAACCGCAUGGUUCAAUAGUGAAAGACGGUUUUGCUGUCACUUAUAGAUGGAUCCGCGCCGCAUUAGCUAGUUGGUAAGGUAACGGCUUACCAAGGCAACGAUGCGUAGCCGACCUGAGAGGGUGAUCGGCCACACUGGAACUGAGACACGGUCCAGACUCCUACGGGAGGCAGCAGUAGGGAAUCUUCCGCAAUGGGCGAAAGCCUGACGGAGCAACGCCGCGUGAGUGAUGAAGGUCUUCGGAUCGUAAAACUCUGUUAUUAGGGAAGAACAAAUGUGUAAGUAACUAUGCACGUCUUGACGGUACCUAAUCAGAAAGCCACGGCUAACUACGUG